RNAcentral lists this ribosomal RNA (1275 nucleotides) under Triticum aestivum (bread wheat). Its description in RNAcentral is "partial small subunit ribosomal RNA". The record is from RNAcentral. Lineage: Eukaryota; Viridiplantae; Streptophyta; Magnoliopsida; Poales; Poaceae.
AUGAAAUACGAUGAGCGGUAUACACAGUACAUCGAGAGGCUAGGACUCCUUCCAUUCAUCCAACUUGUCACUCGGUCGACGCCAAACAUGAACCCUUGUGCUAUCACCGCGCUUGUUGACCGAUGGAAGCCGGAGACACACAGUUUUCACCUCCGAACCGGGGAGAUGACCGUGACUCUUCAGGAUGUUUCGAUGAUCCUUGCACUUCCCAUCGAGGGAAUUCCUGUCUGUUUUAGCACUGAUGCUGCUAACCGGCGCGAUAGGAUGUUUGACCUUAUCGGUGCGGUUCCUGCAGUGCCGGAUGACCCAACUAAAUACAGAGUCCCCGCUGGUGCGACUUAUGUUUGGAUCGCAGAACAUUUUAGCCAGUGCCCCGGCGAUGCUAGUGAGGAAAUGUUCAAACAGUAUACAUGUGCAUACUUGUGGUAUGUGAUCUCAAGGACUCUUUUUGCUGACGGUGGUGGCAGGACCGCUCCGUGGAUGUGGCUGAAGGCGUUAUCUGGUUGGGAUAGUAAACAGAGCUGGGGUUCAGCGGCACUGGCCUACUUGUACCGUCAGUUGGAUGAGGCGUGUUGUAGGCACAAAGAUGAUGCCAGCAUUGGUGGUCCGUUGGUCCUACUUUCGGUUUGGAUGUGGGAACACUUUUCAGUUGGACGGCCGAAAGUGAUCCGUUACGGCGCUUGGGACGAUCAUGAUAACCCGCUACGACAGCCUACAUGGGGGUACAAGUGGGACAAGGUUUCGGAGUUCAACGGCGACCAAAAGAGAAUGUACAUAGACUACACCAAUGAGUUUGACGCGCUAACCGCCGAGCAGGUGACAUGGCAGCCAUAUGGACCGCAGGACAAUUUCGCUUUCAUCCUCGAUUUCCAGUUGAACCCGAAAUGCACAGAGGAAUCACAUCUUUGGCAGAUGCGGUGCCCAUUGAUAUGCUUAUAUGCAGUCGAGCACCACCUUCCACAACGUGUGAUGACUCAAUUUGGGUUAUUUCAGGAUACACCACCGGAGUGGAAGGACACGAAUAUCGUGAUUCACGGCUUGGACAAAAUGAAGCAGAAGAAGAUCAAGAACUGGGAGUCAUAUCAUGAAAAGUACAUCAAGAAGUGGAAUUACUUGGUGAAGGUGGCUAAUAAUAACAGACAAGUACAUCGCCAAGUGCAUGAUGAAGCUGCAUUUUACAAAUAUCUUCAAUGGUUUCUUAGCGAGUCUCGUGUGGAGUUAUGCCCGCCGGCUUAUGAUGAGAGCAUAUUGUUGGGGAUCGUAGCAGAAUUUUAA